Molecule: ribosomal RNA, 466 nt
Filed under: uncultured bacterium
Lineage: Bacteria
Description: bacterial SSU rRNA
Rfam family: Bacterial small subunit ribosomal RNA
Source: RNAcentral
UAGGGAAUAUUGGGCAAUGGAGGGAACUCUGACCCAGCCAUGCCGCGUGCAGGAUGAAGGCGUUAUGCGUUGUAAACUGCUUUUAUAUAGGAAGAAAUAGUCCUUGCGAGGAAAGUUGACGGUACUAUAUGAAUAAGCACCGGCUAACUCCGUGCCAGCAGCCGCGGUAAUACGGAGGGUGCAAGCGUUGUCCGGAUUUAUUGGGUUUAAAGGGUGCGUAGGCGGUUUAUUAAGUCAGUGGUGAAAGACGGUCGCUCAACGAUUGCAGUGCCAUUGAUACUGGUAGACUUGAGUAUGAUUGAGGUAGCUGGAAUGGAUAGUGUAGCGGUGAAAUGCAUAGAUAUUAUCCAGAACACCAAUUGCGUAGGCAAGUUACUAAGUCAUAACUGACGCUGAGGCGCGAAAGCAAGGGGAGCAAACAGGAUUAGAUACCCGCGUAGUCCCUGAGCGGGCUGGCAAGGCGCAU